Molecule: small RNA, 737 nt
Filed under: Pan troglodytes (chimpanzee)
Lineage: Eukaryota; Metazoa; Chordata; Mammalia; Primates; Hominidae
Description: retained intron
Source: RNAcentral
CCCAGGAUCUUUGGGGGGGUCUUGGAGAGUGAUGCAAGAAGUGAAUCCCCCCAACCAGCACCAGACUGGGGCUCCCAGAGGCCAUUUCAUAGGUUUGAUGAUGUAUGGCCUAUGGACCCCCAUCCUAGAACCAGAGAGGACAAUGAUCUUGAUUCCCAGGUUUCCCAGGAGGGUCUUGGCCCGGUUCUACAGCCCCAGCCCAAAUCCUAUUUCAAGAGCAUCUCUGUGACCAAGAUCACUAAACCAGAUGGGGUGAGUUGAAAGAAAGAGGUAAAGGAAAAGUAUGGCCAGGGAACGAAUGCCCUGAAACAGGGAUCUGUGUAAAGAAACUGCUGAGCAUAACCUUUAGUAACGUUCGGAAUAUGGUGGGGACUUCUCUUUGUAGAUAGUGGAGGAGCGCCGGACUGUGGUGGACAGUGAGGGCCGGACAGAGACUACAGUAACCCGACACGAAGCAGAUAGCAGUCCUAGGGGUGAUCCAGAAUCACCAAGACCUCCAGCCCUGGAUGAUGCCUUUUCCAUCCUGGACUUAUUCCUAGGACGUUGGUUCCGGUCCCGGUAGCCUUGUUAACCCUCAGAGGCCUUCAAGUCCUUUCCACCUCUCACCCAUUGCCCACCAUUAAUAAGCUUAGCUUCUCCUCUUGCCACCUCAGGGGCUUGGAUAUGUGGAAUAGUGAACUGGGGGCAUGUCAGUUUGUCACUCACCCAAACUGACCAAUAAAACCUUUAUUUAUGCU